Molecule: ribosomal RNA, 464 nt
Filed under: uncultured bacterium
Lineage: Bacteria
Description: partial 16S ribosomal RNA
Rfam family: Bacterial small subunit ribosomal RNA
Source: RNAcentral
UCCUCCCUCUUUCUUCGUGCUUAACACAUGCAAGUCGAACGGUAAGGCCCUUUCGGGGGUACACGAGUGGCGAACGGGUGAGUAACACGUGGGUGAUCUGCCCUGCACUUUGGGAUAAGCCUGGGAAACUGGGUCUAAUACCGGAUAGGACUACGCGAUGCAUGUCGUGUGGUGGAAAGCUUUUGCGGUGUGGGAUGGGCCCGCGGCCUAUCAGCUUGUUGGUGGGGUGAUGGCCUACCAAGGCGACGACGGGUAGCCGGCCUGAGAGGGUGUCCGGCCACACUGGGACUGAGAUACGGCCCAGACUCCUACGGGAGGCAGCAGUGGGGAAUAUUGCACAAUGGGCGCAAGCCUGAUGCAGCGACGCCGCGUGGGGGAUGACGGCCUUCGGGUUGUAAACCCCUUUCAGCACAGACGAAGCGUAAGUGACGGUAUGUGCAGAAGAAGCACCGGCCAACUACGUG